AACGAACGCUGGCGGCAUGCCUAACACAUGCAAGUCGAACGAGACCUUCGGGUCUAGUGGCGCACGGGUGCGUAACGCGUGGGAACCUGCCCUUAGGUUCGGAAUAACUCCCCGAAAGGGGUGCUAAUACCGGAUAAUGUCUUCGGACCAAGGAUUUAUCGCCUUUGGAUGGGCCCGCGUUGGAUUAGCUAGUUGGUAGGGUAAAAGCCUACCAAGGCGACGAUCCAUAGCUGGUCUGAGAGGAUGAUCAGCCACACUGGGACUGAGACACGGCCCAGACUCCUACGGGAGGCAGCAGUGGGGAAUAUUGGACAAUGGGCGAAAGACUGAUCCAGCAAUGCCGCGUGAGUGAUGAAGGCCUUAGGGUUGUAAAGCUCUUUUACCCGGGAUGAUAAUGACAGUACCGGGAGAAUAAGCGCCGGCUAACUCCGUG
RNAcentral lists this ribosomal RNA (433 nucleotides) under uncultured bacterium. RNAcentral's name for it is "partial 16S ribosomal RNA". It matches the Rfam family "Bacterial small subunit ribosomal RNA", at positions 29 to 507 of the family's 1533-position model. The record is from RNAcentral.